GACCGUUUUUCAUAAAGUUAUGACUCAACAAGCUAUGACGUAAACAAUAAGUUUGAAAAUAUCGUUUUAAAGCGAUUGGAAUCACUGCUGAGGCGCAGGCGUGGCUGUAUCGUAAGAAGUUUGCUUCCCAGCCACAAGACUCCAGCUUCAAUACCAUUGUGUGACAUUUCGGUGAUGUGUCUUCGAAUACAGUUUUGGGCACAAAUCUACAAGUUUGAGGAGGCUAGUUGAUUCCAUCAGCCCCAGUACUCAGCAGGUAUUUAUUUCACUGACCCCAAAACGGUGCUAAGUAUUUCGUCCAGUGUGCUGACAAUCCUUCCAGCUUCCCUAUAAUAAUAGGAUGUUUAACACGCGAAAACAUUAAAAUAUAUUUCCUCCAAUAAAUGAAUCCAACCACCCCACCAAAAAAUAAGAACAGACGAAAUGUUGGUAUCGUGUAAAAUACAAGACGUUUCUUUCGUAUAUAUGGUAAUCAGUGAAGCGAACGUUAAUUCAAUUAUUUUGCACUAGCAACUUAUAGAUUGAUUUUAUUUGAUCAUACAAAAAGAAAGGCAAGGAAGAAAGCGUAUGAAAAUGGAAAACGGACUGAAGAAACAAUCGUCGCAAGAGUAAAAAGAGUACGUAGAUAUAAGAGGCUUUAAGUUACUUCUAUUAUCUAAAUAGAAAAAAAUUGUCGAGGGAUUCUGUGCCAAAAAUACUUUCACCAAAUAUAUAUCGCAGCUGAUAUGAAAGGCAACAAACUUACUACACUUACUGUGCAACCAGGCGUAUUUAUUAGACGCGGUGAAAGUCUUCGAGGCACAAAUACAAGUGUGCAUUCGAUCCAUUAUGUUAAUGUUUUUCAGGUUUAUCCGGACACAAAAUUGUCGCCCCAAGUUUUGAUGAUUCGAAAUUAUUGAUUACAAACACAGCGGUAGCACACCUCUUAUGUUGCUUGUAGUCUAUUAAAGUCACUCGCAUUCAGCUCUUUCUUCGUUUGCUUUCCUAAACGAACGAAAUUAACUUCCAUGUACG
Long non-coding RNA from Octopus bimaculoides (California two-spot octopus), 1014 nucleotides. RefSeq lists it as uncharacterized. The record is from RefSeq and is a predicted model, not a curated record. Lineage: Eukaryota; Metazoa; Mollusca; Cephalopoda; Octopoda; Octopodidae.